GCACCGGUGGUGGAAUUGGUAGACACGCCAUCUUGAGGGGGUGGUGUCUUAAAGACGUGUGGGUUCAAAUCCCACUCGGUGCACCA
RNAcentral lists this transfer RNA (86 nucleotides) under Allofrancisella frigidaquae. RNAcentral describes it as "tRNA-Leu". It matches the Rfam family "tRNA". Rfam says of the family: Transfer RNA (tRNA) molecules are approximately 80 nucleotides in length. Their secondary structure includes four short double-helical elements and three loops (D, anti-codon, and T loops). The record is from RNAcentral. Lineage: Bacteria; Pseudomonadati; Pseudomonadota; Gammaproteobacteria; Thiotrichales; Francisellaceae. RNAcentral also lists the same sequence under 1 other name.